Molecule: ribosomal RNA, 835 nt
Filed under: Neostagonospora elegiae
Lineage: Eukaryota; Fungi; Ascomycota; Dothideomycetes; Pleosporales; Phaeosphaeriaceae
Description: eukaryotic LSU rRNA
Rfam family: Eukaryotic large subunit ribosomal RNA
Source: RNAcentral
GGGAUUGCCCUAGUAACGGCGAGUGAAGCGGCAACAGCUCAAAUUUGAAAUCUGGCUCUUUUAGGGUCCGAGUUGUAAUUUGCAGAGGGCGCUUUGGCGUUGGCAGCGGUCCAAGUUCUUUGGAACAGGACGUCACAGAGGGUGAGAAUCCCGUACGUGGUCGCUAGCCUUCGCCGUGUAAAGCCCCUUCGACGAGUCGAGUUGUUUGGGAAUGCAGCUCUAAAUGGGAGGUAAAUUUCUUCUAAAGCUAAAUACUGGCCAGAGACCGAUAGCGCACAAGUAGAGUGAUCGAAAGAUGAAAAGCACUUUGGAAAGAGAGUCAAAUAGCACGUGAAAUUGUUGAAAGGGAAGCGCUUGCAGCCAGACUUGCCUGUAGUUGCUUAUCCGGACUUUUGUCCGGUGCACUCUUCUGCGGGCAGGCCAGCAUCAGUUUGGGCGGUUGGAUAAAGGUCUCUAUCACGUACCUCCUUUCGGGGAGGCCUUAUAGGGGAGACGUCAUGCAACCAGCCUGGACUGAGGUCCGCGCAUCUGCUAGGAUGCUGGCGUAAUGGCUGUAAGCGGCCCGUCUUGAAACACGGACCAAGGAGUCUAACAUCUAUGCGAGUGUUUGGGUGUCAAGCCCAGACGCGUAAUGAAAGUGAACGGAGGUGGGAACCUUUUAGGUGCACCAUCGACCGAUCCUGAUGUCUUCGGAAGGAUUUGAGUAAGAGCAUGGCUGUUGGGACCCGAAAGAUGGUGAACUAUGCUUGAAUAGGGUGAAGCCAGAGGAAACUCUGGUGGAGGCUCGCAGCGGUUCUGACGUGCAAAUCGAUCGUCAAAUUUGGGCAUAGGGGCG